RNAcentral lists this long non-coding RNA (263 nucleotides) under Mytilus galloprovincialis (Mediterranean mussel). The record is from RNAcentral. Lineage: Eukaryota; Metazoa; Mollusca; Bivalvia; Mytilida; Mytilidae.
CUAAUUUCUCGCAUAUUAAUAAGCAAUUCAGUUAUUAAGAACCCUGACAUAUAACACACGUAUUUCAUUCCUACUUUGUUUAGGGCUUGAUGGGCAUAGUUUAACAGGACUGUGUGCCAUAUUCCGGGUCUGAAACGUGACCGAAGGAUUUGAUUUGUAUAUUACAAUUAUAACAAAAAAUCAAUUAAAAAAAAACAAUUAAAAAUAUAAAAACCAACAAAAAAAAAUAUUUCCUAAAACAAAACAACGAUCUUCAAAAAAAA